CUCUCUGACUCUUGACCUCAAAUCAGGUAGGACUACCCGC
RNAcentral lists this ribosomal RNA (40 nucleotides) under Physalacria corneri. RNAcentral's name for it is "partial 28S large subunit ribosomal RNA". The record is from RNAcentral. Lineage: Eukaryota; Fungi; Basidiomycota; Agaricomycetes; Agaricales; Physalacriaceae.